ACAAAGGGAGAAACAAAUGUGAGCUUGUAGUAAUCAUCUCCUGCAGCCUUUUCUUUCUUCCUUCUCUUUCUUCUCUUUUCUCUUCCUACUUUGUUAUUUUUCCUUCUCUUUUUUCUCCACAUUUUCCUUGUUCGCUGUAGUUUCUUCCUCCUCUCUUCUCCUCCUUUCUUUUUAGAACACUCCCCACCCUUCUUUCAUUAUCACCAGUUUUAUCCUCAUACUGCGGUGGAUUCAUCCCCAUUGUUUACAGCACAGUCUCCUACAGCAGUACCUGUCUCUACUUGUGGCACAUAAUGUAAUGUUAGGAGGUUUAUUCUGUUGACGGAAGAGGAAAUGAUCAACCACAGUUAUGCGAAUAGGAGCCUGACUUGAAUGUAAUUUCACAAGUGCAGAGCCAAGGCUGGAUAAAAUUGAGGAGAUUCUUUCCAAACAUUGGAUCCUUGGGCAAAAGCAACAAAAGAGACAUUCCUCGUACUAAAAAGGCCAGAUACUAGCACUUCCGUCAGACUUCCUAUUUUAACCACAAACCUGGA
Callithrix jacchus (white-tufted-ear marmoset) is the source of this 533-nucleotide long non-coding RNA. RefSeq lists it as uncharacterized. The record is from RefSeq and is a predicted model, not a curated record. Lineage: Eukaryota; Metazoa; Chordata; Mammalia; Primates; Cebidae.